RNAcentral lists this non-coding RNA (122 nucleotides) under uncultured Aquabacterium sp. Its description in RNAcentral is "Burkholderia RNA 11". It matches the Rfam family "Burkholderia RNA 11". Rfam says of the family: Co-purified with Hfq, expression confirmed by Northern blot. Predicted target marZ. Lineage: Bacteria; Pseudomonadati; Pseudomonadota; Betaproteobacteria; Burkholderiales; Sphaerotilaceae. The record is from RNAcentral.
GCAACCUGAAGCUGGCGCGCGAGUACCCCAGCGUGUUUCGCUCGCUGCUGGGCAUCUCGUGGAUGUGGUUCUUCGGCGCGGUGUUCCUGUCGCAGUUCCCGUCGUUCGCGAAGGAUGUGCUG